CACAACGUCUGGGGCAUUGUGGGAAAAACAAAAUGGUGGAUGCCAGCUAUGUUGUGGCUGCAGAAAUUCAAUGGGCCUGAAGGGUCCAUGAGGGCAGACACCCAUCAGUGUGUUGGACUCUGUGGAAGGCACAAGGGUCCUUGUGUCAGCUGCUGCUCUAAGACACAAAGAAGUAAUUCCUACCUGCUGAAUGCGAGGCCCCGGGGAGGCCACAAGAAGGCUAGCAGGAACUGCAGCAAGCAGGCUUUCCUCCUCCACUGAAGUGAGAUACAUUGAGCCUGGAAAUCAUAUGUGGGGAGGAAUGUGCCCAGAAUAAGGAUGAAGGAUGAAUUUGUUCACUUUGCAUUUUACUGGGAACUUACGUAAAUCCCUGAACUGAAAAAUAGCUAUCCUUUAAAAUUGCAGCAGCAAAGGGACUGUGACCAACAUCAUGGGAAGGAAUCUUGGCAGCCUCAAAGACCGCAUUAUGGCAGGUGAUUGACGGGCUGGAGGUACUGCUUACACUGGCGGAGGAAGAGGAGAGUGGAGGGAGCGCACCGCCCCCAGCAGCACGAUCCCUUGGGUGCCAUCACACCUGCCCCCUGCCUGCGCUGGGUGCCCUGCCCCUGCAGGCAGUGCGCCGCAACCCCAGGAUGCAUGCCACGCCCCUAGAAUGCAUGCCAUGCCCCCAGGAUGUGUUCCAGACCCGUCCCCACCUGCUCUCUGCCCCCUGGUGCCAGAGCAUGAAGCUGCGUCACUGACUGCCUACCUGUCUAAAGUAGCCCAUCGAUGCUGGGCCAAUUCUAGAACUGGCUCACUGACCGGAUACAUUUCCCCUCCCCUUGGUAAAAUGGUAGUGUGAAGAGGUGUGAAGUGUACCCCACUUAAAAAUGAAAAGCUUGGGGCAAUGGUAUGAAGCUUAGGUUCUUUUGGAUGAGAGAGUGCCAGGGUCUUAUGUAAUACAGUGGUACCUCUGGUUACAUAUGCUUCAGGUCCUAGUGGAGUACUGUGUCCAGUUCUGGGCACCACAGUU
Molecule: non-coding RNA, 1012 nt
Organism: Podarcis muralis (Common wall lizard)
Lineage: Eukaryota; Metazoa; Chordata; Lepidosauria; Squamata; Lacertidae
Source: RefSeq, a predicted model, not a curated record